AAGCGGUGGAGCAUGUGGUUUAAUUCGACGCAACGCGAAGAACCUUACCAGGGCUUGACAUCCCCUGACCGCGUAUGAAAGUACGUUUUCACCCUCGGGUGACAGGGAGACAGGUGGUGCAUGGUUGUCGUCAGCUCGUGUCGUGAGAUGUUGGGUUAAGUCCCGCAACGAGCGCAACCCCUACGUUUAGUUGCUAACGCGUGAAGGCGAGCACUCUAGACGAACUGCCGUUGACAAAACGGAGGAAGGUGGGGAUGACGUCAAAUCAUCAUGCCCCUUAUGUUCUGGGCUACACACGUGCUACAAUGGCCGGUACAGACGGAGGCGAAGCCGCGAGGCGGAGCAAAUCCGAAAAAGCCGGUCUCAGUUCGGAUUGCAGGCUGCAAUUCGCCUGCAUGAAGUCGGAAUCGCUAGUAAUCGCAGGUCAGCAUACUGCGGCGAAUACGUUCCCGGGUCUU
Molecule: ribosomal RNA, 458 nt
Filed under: uncultured Pelotomaculum sp.
Lineage: Bacteria; Bacillati; Bacillota; Clostridia; Eubacteriales; Desulfotomaculaceae
Description: bacterial SSU rRNA
Rfam family: Bacterial small subunit ribosomal RNA
Source: RNAcentral